GUGCGGGACGUGUCCCGUUUUGUAUGUACCUUAUGAAUAAGGAUCGGCUAACUCCGUGCCAGCAGCCGCGGUAAUACGGAGGAUCCGAGCGUUAUCCGGAUUUAUUGGGUUUAAAGGGUGCGUAGGCGGCCUUUUAAGUCAGCGGUGAAAGUCUGUGGCUCAACCAUAGAAUUGCCGUUGAAACUGGGAGGCUUGAGUAUGUUUGAGGCAGGCGGAAUGCGUGGUGUAGCGGUGAAAUGCUUAGAUAUCACGCAGAACCCCGAUUGCGAAGGCAGCCUGCCAAGCCAUGACUGACGCUGAUGCACGAAAGCGUGGGGAUCAAACAGGAUUAGAUACCCUGGUAGUCCACGCAGUAAACGAUGAUCACUAGCUGUUUGCGAUACACAGUAA
This 390-nucleotide ribosomal RNA is filed under the name uncultured bacterium. Its description in RNAcentral is "bacterial SSU rRNA". It matches the Rfam family "Bacterial small subunit ribosomal RNA", at positions 451 to 842 of the family's 1533-position model. The record is from RNAcentral.